This 497-nucleotide ribosomal RNA is filed under the name uncultured bacterium. Its description in RNAcentral is "partial 16S ribosomal RNA". It matches the Rfam family "Bacterial small subunit ribosomal RNA", at positions 28 to 507 of the family's 1533-position model. The record is from RNAcentral.
GAUGAACGCUGGCGGCGUGCCUAAUACAUGCAAGUCGAGCGAACAGACGAGGAGCUUGCUCCUCUGACGUUAGCGGCGGACGGGUGAGUAACACGUGGAUAACCUACCUAUAAGACUGGGAUAACUUCGGGAAACCGGAGCUAAUACCGGAUAAUAUAUUGAACCGCAUGGUUCAAUAGUGAAAGACGGUUUUGUUGUCACUUAUAGAUGGAUCCGCGCCGCAUUAGCUAGUUGGUAAGGUAACGGCUUACCAAGGCAACGAUGCGUAGCCGACCUGAGAGGGGGGUUGGCCACACUGGAACUGAAACACGGGCCAGACUCCUACGGGAGGGAGCAAUAGGGGAACUUCCGGAAAUGGGGGAAACCUGAAGGGACAACGGCGGGUGAGGGAUGAAGGUCUUCGGAACCGAAAAAUCUGUUAUUUGGGAAAAAAAAAUGGUUAAGUAACUAUGCACGGCUUGACGGGACCUAAUCAGAAAACCAAGGCUAAAUACGGG